Long non-coding RNA from Capsicum annuum, 842 nucleotides. RefSeq lists it as uncharacterized. The record is from RefSeq and is a predicted model, not a curated record. Lineage: Eukaryota; Viridiplantae; Streptophyta; Magnoliopsida; Solanales; Solanaceae. The transcript is spliced from 2 exons.
ACCAAAUCAUGUAAUGUCUUGUUAGGGGAACUCCUCUUUGCUGACAAUGGCACCAAUUUUUUCCUUCAAAACUUGACUUUAAUAUUGCAGAUUUUCUUAUUGUAUCCUUGCAGUCCAAUUCAUCAACUUGAAGUGCUUUCUGGUUGGUUGCUUGACCAAGAACUAAUUGCAUAUCCUAAUAAUUCAUGUCAACAGGGUUCUAGUUUGCAAGCAUCACUGUUCCAUUCAGAUAUCUCCUUUGAACUAGUGUGUCAUCUUUUCCAUGAUCUUCUUUUUCAUGACCUUCUCUCCAUACAUCAUAUUUCUAUUCUUGAGUUCUCAAUUUAGGAUAUAAGCUUCUGCAUUCUACCUCCUCAUGCCCUUGUAAUUUACAGGUAUAGCAAUAUUUGGGAAACAUAUCAUAUUGAACUUUGACUGUUCGAAUCCUAACCUCUUUAGUAGUGUUGUUGAUCACUUCAAUUUCUACAUGAUCAGGUAAUUUGGCUGCUAAAUCAACUUGCACUUUCACCCUUGCACAACUCGACCUGGUCUUAUUGAUUGUAGCUAUAUCCAGUUGGACAGGUUUUCCUACUGCAACAACUAUUGAAAAGAGAGAUUCCUUCACAAAAAGGUUGGUAAAAUAUCCAAGAACGAAAUUCAUGUCAUCACCUACGUGUCUCCACCUUUGGAUCAAAUUUGGCAUCAUAAAUAAAAGGUCUCAUCUGAUAAGCUAAGCCAUCUUUUACCGUAAUGUAAUAUACAUUUUUCGACAUCAUGUUAAUAAAGUCUUCCCUAAGCUCAAAGUGCAUUAAUAUGUGCAUGUUACACAAUAAGCCAAUCUUACAACCUCCUUUUAUUUUGCA